GAUCGUGCAGGUCUUGUUGUCCUGGUGGCUGGUCACACUCUUAACAGUGGAAACAUGGAAAGGCACCAUGCUGCCAUAGAUGGGUAAGAGGAUGGCCUCGUUCUUCUGAUCUACUUGUAUCAUCAGUUCUUUUGAAUAUGGAAAGUCAUUGAUGUUCUUAUAAGCAACCAACUCACUCGAAGCUUUCACAGUACCGCGCCCAUCUCCAGCACCAGACCCACCACCAGCCAACCUCCUAGCAGUCUCUUCAUUCUUCAUGCGUGCUAGUUCAGCCUGGUGUUGUCUCCGCUGCUCUUCCUUCGACAUCUCCUGGUUGUCUGAUCGCAAGGUUGCUUUCGACAUAUACUGUUGCACAUUGCCAUUUACCUCUGUUUUAACUUUUUGUUUUUCUUCUGCGUCGUCUUCAUUGUCUUCAUUGAAGGAGUACGCAACAUCUUUGACAGCCUUGGAGCACAUAGAGGUCAGGACAUCUGGAGCCUUCUCACUUACCACAACCAC
Molecule: unclassified non-coding RNA, 498 nt
Filed under: Hevea brasiliensis (rubber tree)
Lineage: Eukaryota; Viridiplantae; Streptophyta; Magnoliopsida; Malpighiales; Euphorbiaceae
Source: RNAcentral